This 288-nucleotide ribosomal RNA is filed under the name Trichominua sp. RPDR-2013. RNAcentral's name for it is "partial 16S ribosomal RNA". The record is from RNAcentral. Lineage: Eukaryota; Metazoa; Arthropoda; Arachnida; Opiliones; Gonyleptidae.
GCAUAAUCAAUAGUUUUUUAAUUGAAAGCUGGAAUGAAAGGUAGAAUCUAAUAGGAUUGUUUUAUUUAAAAAGUUUGAAAUUAAAUUAAAAGUAAAAAUGCUUUUAUUAAUUUUUAGGACGAGAAGACCCUAGAAGCUUUAAAAAUUGGACUAAUUUUUUUGGUUGGGGUAACUUGUGAAGAUAAAUAUUUUUAUAUAAGGAUCAUUAAAUAGAAGACAAAGAAGUUACUCUAGGGAUAACAGCGUUAUUUGAUUAGCAAGUUCUUAUUAAUAAUUAAGUUUGCGACC